CAUUAGAUGGCUGAAAGUAAGCAAUGGAAUUUUAAACCAUAAAAUAGUAUCUCACGCCUACUUCUAAUGG
RNAcentral lists this transfer RNA (70 nucleotides) under Paraglenea fortunei. RNAcentral describes it as "tRNA-Lys". Lineage: Eukaryota; Metazoa; Arthropoda; Insecta; Coleoptera; Cerambycidae. The record is from RNAcentral.